AAGGCAGGUCGCCUUAUCGCGCUUUUAAAGUGAGGAAAGUCCGGACACCAAAGCACAGCGUAGCGGGUAACGCCCGUCAUUUGUUUUAAAACAAAUCGGACAAGUGCAACAGAAAGGAUGUACAGGUUAAGCUGUAGUGAAAUCAGGUAAACUCUACGCGGUGAAAUACCAAGUAAACCAAGUUUUGAGGCUUGUGCGGCCAAUCUUGGAGGGUUGGUAGAUUAGAUUUUAAUAGCAAUAUUAAAACCAGAUAAAUGAUAAGGCGUUAACUCAAGUUAACGACAGAAUCCGGCUUACAGACCUGCUUUUUUU
This 312-nucleotide RNase P RNA is filed under the name Psychroflexus sp. ALD_RP9. Its description in RNAcentral is "RNase P RNA component class A". It matches the Rfam family "Bacterial RNase P class A". From Rfam's summary of the family: Ribonuclease P (RNase P) is a ubiquitous endoribonuclease, found in archaea, bacteria and eukarya as well as chloroplasts and mitochondria. Its best characterised activity is the generation of mature 5'-ends of tRNAs by cleaving the 5'-leader elements of precursor-tRNAs. Cellular RNase Ps are ribonucleoproteins. The record is from RNAcentral. Lineage: Bacteria; Pseudomonadati; Bacteroidota; Flavobacteriia; Flavobacteriales; Flavobacteriaceae.